This 72-nucleotide transfer RNA is filed under the name Acidobacteria bacterium 13_1_20CM_3_53_8. Its description in RNAcentral is "tRNA-Asp". It matches the Rfam family "tRNA". Rfam says of the family: Transfer RNA (tRNA) molecules are approximately 80 nucleotides in length. Their secondary structure includes four short double-helical elements and three loops (D, anti-codon, and T loops). Lineage: Bacteria; Pseudomonadati; Acidobacteriota. The record is from RNAcentral.
GGCGGUGUAGCCAAGUGGUAAGGCAGCGUCCCGUCAAGGCGCAAUACGUGGGUUCGAUUCCCUCCACCGCCU